CCUACGGGUGGCAGCAGUCGAGAAUCAUUCACAAUGGGGGAAACCCUGAUGGGGCGACGCCGCGUGGGGGAAUGAAGGUCUUCGGAUUGUAAACCCCUGUCAUGUGGGAGCAAAUUAAAAAGAUAGUACCACAAGAGGAAGAGACGGCUAACUCUGUGCCAGCAGCCGCGGUAAUACAGAGGUCUCAAGCGUUGUUCGGAAUCACUGGGCGUAAAGCGUGCGUAGGCUGUUUCGUAAGUCGUGUGUGAAAGGCGCGGGCUCAACCCGCGGACGGCACAUGAUACUGCGAGACUAGAGUAGUGGAGGGGGAACCGGAAUUCUCGGUGUAGCAGUGAAAUGCGUAGAUAUCGAGAGGAACACUCGUGGCGAAGGCGGGUUCCUGGACAUUAACUGACGCUGAGGCACGAAGGCCAGGGGAGCGAAAGGGAUUAGAUACCCUUGUAGUC
RNAcentral lists this ribosomal RNA (446 nucleotides) under uncultured bacterium. Its description in RNAcentral is "partial 16S ribosomal RNA". It matches the Rfam family "Bacterial small subunit ribosomal RNA", at positions 338 to 795 of the family's 1533-position model. The record is from RNAcentral.